This 278-nucleotide long non-coding RNA is filed under the name Capsella rubella. RNAcentral's name for it is "long non-coding RNA (CRUB_LNC002176)". The record is from RNAcentral. Lineage: Eukaryota; Viridiplantae; Streptophyta; Magnoliopsida; Brassicales; Brassicaceae.
GCACUGUACCUCAUACAUCUCUAUUCUCCUCUUUUUGUUGUCAUAGUCCCACGUAAAUACCAAUUGAUUAUUUUUAUUUUUUUUAUUAAAAGCCAACAUCAUAUCUUACAAAGUCAUAAAUCUACCAUAAUUCGUAAAGUACAACGUCAUAAUAAACUUUUACAAAACAAUACACAUGCCACAGAGAAUUAGCCAUCUAUCUGAAUCCAUGUUUUAACCGAAAUCAAAAAGUUGUGGAUUGUAGUAUCAAUGGACAGCUGUAACUACUAGGAUGUUGA